Molecule: ribosomal RNA, 788 nt
Filed under: Allomuricauda sp.
Lineage: Bacteria; Pseudomonadati; Bacteroidota; Flavobacteriia; Flavobacteriales; Flavobacteriaceae
Description: bacterial SSU rRNA
Rfam family: Bacterial small subunit ribosomal RNA
Source: RNAcentral
UGCCGCGUGCAGGAUGACGGCCCUAUGGGUUGUAAACUGCUUUUAUACGGGAAGAAACGCACCUACGUGUAGGUGUCUGACGGUACCGUAAGAAUAAGGACCGGCUAACUCCGUGCCAGCAGCCGCGGUAAUACGGAGGGUCCGAGCGUUAUCCGGAAUCAUUGGGUUUAAAGGGUCCGUAGGCGGGCCUGUAAGUCAGGGGUGAAAGUUUGUGGCUCAACCAUAAAAUUGCCUUUGAUACUGCAGGUCUUGAGUCAUGGUGGGGUUGCCGGAACAUGUGGUGUAGCGGUGAAAUGCAUAGAUAUCACAUAGAACACCGAUCGCGAAGGCAGGUGACCAACCAUGUACUGACGCUGAUGGACGAAAGCGUGGGUAGCGAACGGGAUUAGAUACCCCGGUAGUCCACGCCGUAAACGAUGGAUACUAGCUGUGGGGACUUCGGUCUCCGUGGCCAAGCGAAAGUGAUAAGUAUCCCACCUGGGGAGUACGUUCGCAAGAAUGAAACUCAAAGGAAUUGACGGGGGCCCGCACAAGCGGUGGAGCAUGUGGUUUAAUUCGAUGAUACGCGAGGAACCUUACCAGGGCUUAAAUGCAGGCUGCAUGGGGUGGAGACACCCCUUUCUUCGGACCGCCUGCAAGGUGCUGCAUGGUUGUCGUCAGCUCGUGCCGUGAGGUGUCAGGUUAAGUCCUAUAACGAGCGCAACCCCUACCGUUAGUUGCCAGCAUGUAAAGAUGGGGACUCUAACGGGACUGCCGGUGCAAACCGUGAGGAAGGUGGGGACGACGUC